AAGUCGUAACAAGGUCUCCGUUGGUGAACCAGCGGAGGGAUCAUUACAGAGUUGAAAAACUCCCUAAACCCUUUGUUUAUAUACCUGUUCAGUUGCUUCGGCAGGCGGCCCCAGGGCGGGGCCUCUAGCCUGCUCACGCAGGUGCCUGCCGCUGGCGCAAAACUCUUUGUUAUAUUUUACCACUCUGAGUCUCAAAAAAAUGAAUCAAAACUUUCAACAACGGAUCUCUUGGUUCUG
This 237-nucleotide unclassified non-coding RNA is filed under the name Conlarium sp. Its description in RNAcentral is "partial internal transcribed spacer region". The stretch from base 1 to 46 matches the Rfam family "Eukaryotic small subunit ribosomal RNA", at positions 1786 to 1831 of the family's 1831-position model. Lineage: Eukaryota; Fungi; Ascomycota; Sordariomycetes; Conlariaceae. RNAcentral also lists the same sequence under 2 other names. The record is from RNAcentral.